AGCGAACAGAUAAGGAGCUUGCUCCUUUGACGUUAGCGGCGGACGGGUGAGUAACACGUGGAUAACCUACCUAUAAGACUGGGAUAACUUCGGGAAACCGGAGCUAAUACCGGAUAACAUAUUGAACCGCAUGGUUCAAUAGUGAAAGGCGGCUUUGCUGUCACUUAUAGAUGGAUCCGCGCCGUAUUAGCUAGUUGGUAAGGUGACGGCUUACCAAGGCAACGAUACGUAGCCGACCUGAGAGGGUGAUCGGCCACACUGGAACUGAGACACGGUCCAGACUCCUACGGGAGGCAGCAGUAGGGAAUCUUCCGCAAUGGGCGAAAGCCUGACGGAGCAACGCCGCGUGAGUGAUGAAGGUCUUCGGAUCGUAAAACUCUGUUAUCAGGGAAGAACAAAUGUGUAAGUAACUGUGCACAUCUUGACGGUACCUGAUCAGAAAGCCACGGCUAACUACGUGCCAGCAGCCGCGGUAAUACGUAGGUGGCAAGCGUUAUCCGGAAUUAUUGGGCGUAAAGCGCGCGUAGGCGGUUUUUUAAGUCUGAUGUGAAAGCCCACGGCUCAACCGUGGAGGGUCAUUGGAAACUGGAAAACUUGAGUGCAGAAGAGGAAAGUGGAAUUCCAUGUGUAGCGGUGAAAUGCGCAGAGAUAUGGAGGAACACCAGUGGCGAAGGCGACUUUCUGGUCUGUAACUGACGCUGAUGUGCGAAAGCGUGGGGAUCAAACAGGAUUAGAUACCCUGGUAGUCCACGCCGUAAACGAUGAGUGCUAAGUGUUUAGGGGGUUUCCGCCCCUUAGUGCUGCAGCUAACGCAUUAAGCACUCCGCCUGGGGAGUACGACCGCAAGGUUGAAACUCAAAGGAAUUGACGGGGACCCGCACAAGCGGUGGAGCAUGUGGUUUAAUUCGAAGCAACGCGAAGAACCUUACCAAAUCUUGACAUCCUUUGACCGCUCUAGAGAUAGAGUCUUCCCCUUCGGGGGACAAGUGACAGGUGUGCA
This 1000-nucleotide ribosomal RNA is filed under the name Staphylococcus sp. RNAcentral describes it as "bacterial SSU rRNA". It matches the Rfam family "Bacterial small subunit ribosomal RNA", at positions 65 to 1045 of the family's 1533-position model. The record is from RNAcentral. Lineage: Bacteria; Bacillati; Bacillota; Bacilli; Caryophanales; Staphylococcaceae.